GGAGAGAUGGCCGAGAGGCCGAAGGCGCGUCCCUGCUAAGGACGUAUACGGGUAACUGUAUCGGGGGUUCGAAUCCCCCUCUCUCCG
RNAcentral lists this transfer RNA (87 nucleotides) under Spirochaetales bacterium. RNAcentral describes it as "tRNA-Ser". It matches the Rfam family "tRNA". From Rfam's summary of the family: Transfer RNA (tRNA) molecules are approximately 80 nucleotides in length. Lineage: Bacteria; Pseudomonadati; Spirochaetota; Spirochaetia; Spirochaetales. The record is from RNAcentral.